UAUAUGCCGAUGAAAAAGCAAAGUAGCUAGAAAUAAUACAUCAAAGAGAACAUAGGUCGUUGGCUGUGAGCCUAUGGAUGUACUUUUAGUGAAAUUUCACUUUGGAGGUCUUUUUUUGAAACGAUUGUAAGUAGGAAAAAGCAGGUAUGCCUGUUAUAGCUAAUUAAGUGCAUUUAAUUUGUUUUAAAUGAAUUUAGGUGGUAACGCGGAAUUUGAGAGUCAUUUCGUCCUAAUU
Molecule: non-coding RNA, 235 nt
Filed under: Clostridium sp.
Lineage: Bacteria; Bacillati; Bacillota; Clostridia; Eubacteriales; Clostridiaceae
Description: T-box sequence
Rfam family: T-box leader
About the family: Uncharged tRNA acts as the effector for transcription antitermination of genes in the T-box leader family. T-boxes are found upstream of many aminoacyl-tRNA synthetase genes and some amino acid biosynthetic genes usually in Gram-positive bacteria. The anticodon of a specific tRNA base pairs to a specifier sequence within the T-box motif, and the NCCA acceptor tail of the tRNA base pairs to a conserved bulge in the T-box antiterminator hairpin.
Source: RNAcentral